AUCCUGCCAGUAGUCAUAUGCUUGUCUCAAAGAUUAAGCCAUGCAUGUCUCAGUGCAAGCCACAUUGAGGUGAAACCGCGAAUGGCUCAUUAAAUCAGUUAUGGUUCCUUAGAUGGUCGUUUCAGUUACUUGGAUAACUGUGGUAAUUCUAGAGCUAAUACAUGCAAUUAAGUCCCUUCUGGAGACGGAAGGGACGCUUUUAUUAGAUCAAAAUCAAUCGGGUUCGCACGCUCGCCUACGGGCGGGGUGCGUCCCGUUGGCCUUGGUGACUCUGAAUAAGGUUGUGGCGGAUCGUACGGUCCUCGCACCGGCGACGCAUCUUUCAAAUGUCUGCCUUAUCAACUGUCGAUGGUAGGUUGUACGCCUACCAUGGUUGUAACGGGUAACGGGGAAUCAGGGUUCGAUUCCGGAGAGGGAGCCUGAGAAACGGCUACCACAUCCAAGGAAGGCAGCAGGCGCGCAAAUUACCCACUCCCAGCACGGGGAGGUAGUGACGAAAAAUAACGAUACGGGACUCAUCCGAGGCCCCGUAAUCGGAAUGAGGACACUUUAAAGCCGUCCACGAGGACCCAUUGGAGGGUAAGUCUGGUGCCAGCAACCGCGGUAAUUCCAGCUCCAAUAGCGUAUAUUAAAGUUGUUGCGGUUAAAAAGCUCGUAGUCGGACUUGUGUCCCACGCUGCCGGUUCACCGCCCGUCGGUGUAACUGGCAUGUCGCUGCGGACGUCCUGCCGGUGGCCCGAUCCUAUCCGGGAUCACCGCGUGGAGGGCGCGUGGCGUUAGCGGAGCUCCGCAGCGGCUGUUCCGGGCCCGUCCCGUGUAGCCGUGUCGCGGAUACCUCCCUCGCCCGUCGUCUCUCUUCGUAGGACCCGGCCUUAGGGGAGGGCCUGAUUGUACCCGUCGCGGUGCUCUUGACCGAGUGUCUCGAUGGGCCGGCACGUUUACUUUGAACAAAUUAGAGUGCUUAAAGCAGGCAGGGUGAGCCUGAAUACAGAGUGCAUGGAAUAAUGGAAAAGGACCUCGGUUCUAUUUUGUUGGUUUUCUGAAUUUCCGAGGUAAUGAUCAAUAGGGACAGACGGGGGCAUCCGUACUGCGGCGUGAGAGGUGAAAUUCUUGGACCGCCGCAAGACGAACCUAAGCGAAAGCAUUUGCCAAGAAUGUUUUCUCUGAUCAAGAACGAAAGUUAGAGGUCCGAAGGCGAUCAGAUACCGCCCUAGUUCUAACCAUAAACGAUGCCAGCCAACAAUUCGCAGAAGUUCCUCCGAUGACUCUGCGGGCGGCUUCCGGGAAACCAAAGCUUUUGGGUUCCGGGGGAAGUAUGGUUGCAAAGCUGAAACUUAAAGGAAUUGACGGAAGGGCACUACAAGGAGUGGAGCCUGCGGCUUAAUUUGACUCAACACGGGGAAUCUCACUAGGCCAGGACAGAGGAAGGAUUGACAGAUUGAGAGCUCUUUCUUGAUUCUGUGGGUGGUGGUGCAUGGCCGUUCACAGUUGGUGGAGUGAUUUGUCUGGUUAAUUCCGAUAACGAACGAGACUCUAGCCUGCUAACUAGUCGUUCCGGCAUCCGUUGUGCUGCCGGCGACUUAAUCUCUUCUUAGAGGGACAAACGGCUUACAGCCGUAUGAGAUUGAGCAAUAACAGGUCUGUGAUGCCCUUAGAUGUCCUGGGCCGCACGCGCGCUACACUGAAGGGAUCAACAGGUUUUCCUAGACUGGUAGGUCCGGGGAACCCGUUGAAUCGUCUUCGUGCUAGGGAUUGGGGAUUGAAAUUGUUCCCCAUGAACGAGGAAUUCCUAGUAAGCGUGGGUCAUAAGCUCGCGUUGAUUACGUCCCUGCCCUUUGUACACACCGCCCGUCGCUACUACCGAUUGAAUGAUUUAGUGAGGUCUUCGGACCGGUGGACGCUGCGGGGUUUUACGGCCCUUCGCGAUUGCGCCGGGAAGAUGCCCGAACUUGAUUAUUUAGAGGAAGUAAAAGUCGUAACAAGGUUAUCGUAGGUGAACCUGCGAUAGGAUCAUUA
This 2016-nucleotide ribosomal RNA is filed under the name Carbrunneria paramaxi. Its description in RNAcentral is "SSU rRNA". It matches the Rfam family "Eukaryotic small subunit ribosomal RNA". Lineage: Eukaryota; Metazoa; Arthropoda; Insecta; Blattodea; Blattellidae. The record is from RNAcentral.